Nicotiana sylvestris (wood tobacco) is the source of this 87-nucleotide non-coding RNA. NCBI's taxonomy places the organism in Eukaryota, Viridiplantae, Streptophyta, Magnoliopsida, Solanales, Solanaceae. The record is from Rfam.
GGAUGGAUGUCUGAGCGGUUGAAAGUGUUGGUCUUGAAAACCAAAGUAUUUAUAGAAAUACCGGGGGUUCGAAUCCCUCUCCAUCCG